RNAcentral lists this long non-coding RNA (334 nucleotides) under Phaseolus vulgaris (common bean). RNAcentral's name for it is "long non-coding RNA (PVUL_LNC004837)". The record is from RNAcentral. Lineage: Eukaryota; Viridiplantae; Streptophyta; Magnoliopsida; Fabales; Fabaceae.
UAAUUAACCUCAAUCUGUAAUAAAUGGUGAUGUAAAGGUCAAGCUCGACAAAAACACAACCACCAUCUGAUUAAGGCACAAAGGACAAGAAACAAGGAUAGGGACCAACCUCAUAGAAUCCGAGGCCAAGAAGAUAUAUUGGGUCGUCCUUCAAAAUGCUAACCUAUUCACUUGGACAGUCGAAAACAUGUCAGGGGUAGACCUUGAGGUGAUCUUGCACAAGUUAUUCGCGUACAAGGAAGCUCACCCAAAGUUGCAAAAGAAGACAAAAUUAAGGGAUUAGAAGUGGAAAGUUGUCAAAGAGGAGGUUGAUAAACUUAUCAAUGUUAGAUUU